Molecule: ribosomal RNA, 760 nt
Filed under: uncultured Prevotella sp.
Lineage: Bacteria; Pseudomonadati; Bacteroidota; Bacteroidia; Bacteroidales; Prevotellaceae
Description: bacterial SSU rRNA
Rfam family: Bacterial small subunit ribosomal RNA
Source: RNAcentral
GAUGAACGCUGGCUACAGGCUUAACACAUGCAAGUCGAGGGGAAACGACGGGGAAGCUUGCUUCCCCGGGCGUCGACCGGCGCACGGGUGAGUAACGCGUAUCCAACCUGCCUCUGACUGAGGGAUAACCCGUCGAAAGUCGGCCUAAUACCUCAUGGCAUCGUCUGCGGGCAUCCAACGACGAUUAAAGAUUUCAUCGGUCAGAGAUGGGGAUGCGUCUGAUUAGCUAGUUGGCGGGGUAACGGCCCACCAAGGCGACGAUCAGUAGGGGUUCUGAGAGGAAGGUCCCCCACAUUGGAACUGAGACACGGUCCAAACUCCUACGGGAGGCAGCAGUGAGGAAUAUUGGUCAAUGGGCGAGAGCCUGAACCAGCCAAGUAGCGUGCAGGAUGACGGCCCUAUGGGUUGUAAACUGCUUUUAUGCGGGGAUAAAGUGAGGGACGUGUCCUUCAUUGCAGGUACCGCAUGAAUAAGGACCGGCUAAUUCCGUGCCAGCAGCCGCGGUAAUACGGAAGGUCCGGGCGUUAUCCGGAUUUAUUGGGUUUAAAGGGAGCGUAGGCCGUGGAUUAAGCGUGUUGUGAAAUGCAGGUGCUCAACGUCUGCACUGCAGCGCGAACUGGUCCACUUGAGUGUGCGCAACGCAGGCGGAAUUCGUCGUGUAGCGGUGAAAUGCUUAGAUAUGACGAAGAACUCCGAUUGCGAAGGCAGCUUGCGGGAGCACAACUGACGCUGAAGCUCGAAAGUGCGGGUAUCGAACAGG